This 489-nucleotide ribosomal RNA is filed under the name uncultured bacterium. RNAcentral's name for it is "partial 16S ribosomal RNA". It matches the Rfam family "Bacterial small subunit ribosomal RNA", at positions 30 to 507 of the family's 1533-position model. The record is from RNAcentral.
UUGAACGCUGGCGGCAGGCCUAACACAUGCAAGUCGAACGGUAACAGGAAGCAGCUUGCUGCUUUGCUGACGAGUGGCGGACGGGUGAGUAAUGUCUGGGAAACUGCCUGAUGGAGGGGGAUAACUACUGGAAACGGUAGCUAAUACCGCAUAACGUCGCAAGACCAAAGAGGGGGACCUUAGGGCCUCUUGCCAUCGGAUGUGCCCAGAUGGGAUUAGCUAGUAGGUGGGGUAACGGCUCACCUAGGCGACGAUCCCUAGCUGGUCUGAGAGAAUGACCAGCCACACUGGAACUGAGACACGGUCCAGACUCCUACGGGAGGCAGCAGUGGGGAAUAUUGCACAAUGGGCGCAAGCCUGAUGCAGCCAUGCCGCGUGUAUGAAGAAGGCCUUCGGGUUGUAAAGUACUUUCAGCGGGGAGGAAGGGAGUAAAGUUAAUACCUUUGCUCAUUGACGUUACCCGCAGAAGAAGCACCGGCUAACUCCGUG